AAGUGCUUGCUUGGAUAUACUAAAAUACUAAAAUUGGAACGGUACAGUGAAGAUUAGCAUGGCCCCAGCACAAGGAUGACACACACGUUUAUGAAGCGUUCCAUAUUUUU
Molecule: small nuclear RNA, 110 nt
Organism: Nycticebus coucang (slow loris)
Lineage: Eukaryota; Metazoa; Chordata; Mammalia; Primates; Lorisidae
Source: RefSeq, a predicted model, not a curated record